ACGGAGGGUGCAAGCGUUAUCCGGAUUCACUGGGUUUAAAGGGUGCGUAGGUGGGCAGAUAAGUCAGUGGUGAAAUCCCUGGGCUUAACCCAGAAACUGCCGUUGAUACUAUUUGUCUUGAAUAUCAUGGAGGUAAGCGGAAUAUGUCAUGUAGCGGUGAAAUGCUUAGAUAUGACAUAGAACACCGAUAGCGAAGGCAGCUUACUACAUGUUAAUUGACGCUGAGGCACGAAAGCGUGGGGAGCAAACAGGA
This 253-nucleotide ribosomal RNA is filed under the name uncultured prokaryote. Its description in RNAcentral is "partial 16S ribosomal RNA". It matches the Rfam family "Bacterial small subunit ribosomal RNA", at positions 525 to 777 of the family's 1533-position model. The record is from RNAcentral.